This 262-nucleotide unclassified non-coding RNA is filed under the name Hevea brasiliensis (rubber tree). The record is from RNAcentral. Lineage: Eukaryota; Viridiplantae; Streptophyta; Magnoliopsida; Malpighiales; Euphorbiaceae.
AAAGAGAGUAUGUUCAGUUGAGAAUCAAGAUCGGUGGUGAUGCUUCCCUUUGGUUUGUCCUUCCCUGCAAAUUUGCUUUGAAGCUUCUAAGUGCAGAUCGGUUGGCAGCCUCGAAGGAGUGGUACCCUGUUGGUCACCUUCUCUUUCAGGGCAAGUAUGAAAGGCCCUUGUUAGCCAAGCCUGAUUCCAGGUUUCACCUGGCAUUGGUUAGAAUCUUUGUUCUAACCAAUAAGAGCAUACCCUGAGCUGAACUCUUGCAUUU